Heterocephalus glaber (naked mole-rat) is the source of this 475-nucleotide non-coding RNA. NCBI's taxonomy places the organism in Eukaryota, Metazoa, Chordata, Mammalia, Rodentia, Bathyergidae. The record is from RefSeq and is a predicted model, not a curated record.
GUUGAAGGCAAGCCUUGGUGGUUAUGGCGCUCCUGUGCUGAGGGAAACUUCGGUACUUCUAUUUCUGGCUUUGAGAAGAGCACGGAUAAAGUAGAGCUCCAGAAGUGUUGCGAGGCAUUAGAGGCCUCUCUGGUGUGAGUGCAGAGAUCCCAUUUACAUUGAUUUCGCGUGAGAUCACAAGGGUCACCCCUUGGCGCAAAGCACUCUUGAUCUGAAAGCCCUGACACCGUGGGAUGAAUGAAAUAAGCAAGGAGAGUGACCUUACUUGGAGUGAGACAACAUGCAGCCUUUCAGAUGGACCUUCUCUCACUUUUUCAUUGUUGUCUUACUGUUUGUUCCUUGGAGUUGGUGCAGAUUGAAGUUAGAGUAACAACAAAAGCUUCUCCCACCUUCCAUCUCCUGACAUGUGCUGAUCUUUCUGAUACAGGAAAUACUAUUAAAAGCCAAAUUCCCCAUCAUUCAUCAUCACACACAG